Molecule: long non-coding RNA, 2229 nt
Filed under: Nicotiana benthamiana
Lineage: Eukaryota; Viridiplantae; Streptophyta; Magnoliopsida; Solanales; Solanaceae
Description: long non-coding RNA (NBEN_LNC011388)
Source: RNAcentral
CCAUCUCACAAAUGCACCCUUUCAGAACUCCGACGUAAUGCCACCGUCCGCCGCCCGUUGGAAAUCGCCCACGGCGGCGGCCGUCGGUCAAACCCACUCAAAAUCACAUCAUGAACUCCCCUCAACCCCCUGGUUUCAAAUCCCCAACCAUCUUCCCUUGAGUCCCUUUGUAUCUCUCCAAAAAUCCGACCAAAAGUGAAAACCUUAGCGCCGCCACUUCCAAAUGCACCCAAAAUAACACCCCUUGACCUCCUCCAUCCCCUCUCCCCCAAUCUCUAGUUAGUUUCCCUCGAACCCCUCAGAACUUCUCGAAUAUGGAAUUAAAGAAAACCUUAAAAUCACAAACUCAAAUUCAGCGGGCCUUUUGGAGAUUUUAGGCUGUAAUGGCCUUUACUCGUGUGUUUUCACAUGAAAAAACACAAUUAAGGACCUUUCCUGUGAAGAAAUCGAAGGAGUCCUCAGAGUUUGCAAGUUUGCGUUACCGAUAUUUGGUAUUUUUGUAUGUGUUUUGGUUAUUCAUCGUUUGUUUAGUUUUCUAAUUUUAGUUUUCUGUUUCUGUUCCUUCUCCUCUUCGUAUUUUAUUUUUUUCUAUUCAUGCAUGAUUAAUUCAUAAUAUAUUUUUAUUAAUUAGUUUGUUUAACGUUCAUUUAACUCCCUGCAUGUUUUAAUCAGUAGCUUAGUUAGACUGGAAAAGUUACUUCAAUGGUUGGGUCAGUCUUUCAAAAUAGGAAUUUUGUUUAAUGUUAAUUGGACCCUAAAAAAUUAGAAGCAAAAAAACCAAUUAAAUAUUGGACUCUAGCCUAUUCAUAGGCCCAGGAAUGGUUCAAUCCAUUGGGUCCUUGGCCAGUCGACUCAUUAUAGUCCAAGGGUAAUUCUCAGGAGUCCUAAUGGGUAUUUUGGCUAAUGUAUUUAGAGAGUCUAUGAGUAACCACCUGAAGAAGCUUCUCAGAAGCUGCAAAAUAGCCUUGCUUGACCAACAAGGCAAAAAUUAAGGGAUUAAGUAGCAAAAAAAAAAUUGUCUAAGGUUUUCUAAGGUAAAAUGAAAAUUUGAAAAGGUUUAGAGUGUAAAACUUAACUCCUUUCUGCAGCCCUAAAACUUGGCCUAUAAAUACAUCCUUACGUGAAGCUCAAGAGAGAAUUAGGAGAUAAAAAUCUGAAAAAAUGAACCUUAGAAACUCAAAGAGAAAAACCCCAGAAAAAACAAACGGCUGAAAUUUUUCACUGUUCCAUUGAACUUUUUUUUUGAAGUUUUUAUUUCUCAAACACCUUCUGAUUCAUCUGGGUUUAGAUUGGAUUGAAUUUGAUUUUGUUAAAGAUUUGUUUAAAGGUUAUGGGGUACUGUUUGAUUAAAAUUGGGAUAUAGUUUGAUGUGCUUUUGGUUCAAAGUUGAUUUUGCUGGUUAUUUCCUGGUUGUUGAGUUUUUGCUGCUGCGCUGCUUGAUUACUGACCUUCAUUUGUUUUUCUUACGUUUCAUAUUCCAGUUUCAUGUUCCUAGAUUCAUCUCAUAUGAGGUUUGAUAUUGAAAUGAAAUGAAAUCCAGAGUUCCAAAUGUGGUUUCUGCAUAUUCAAAUCUAUUAGUUUAGUUUCAGUUGUUUUGUUGGAGUUAUUUGAUGUGUAGUAUGCUCAACAUAGGAGCUAUUACUCAACUUGCAUCUGUUCAAGUUAGUAUAGCCCUUGCACUAAUUUUACUUGCUUUUAAAAUUUUAUUGUUAUCGCUAGUUUUGGGACUAUUGAAGUAAGGAACUUGAUAAAAAUAUUGACCAUUAGCUAAGUUUUGUGAUUAAGCCAUGUUAGCUAAGUAUAUGGUAUUAUGGAACUGUCAAGUAACUGCAACAUCAUACUUCUUCAAACACCUGAGUUUUAGCUUUAAUCUUGGUUGAAAUAGGUGCUCUUGUUUGUAGGUAAUUUUGUAUUAAAUAGCUAUUAUGAUAAUUAUAAGUUAGAGGUGGAGGUGAAUGAUGUAUAAUCUAUUAUGUUUAAUUGUGGUAUAUCAUUAAAUGCAGAAUUGGUGGUCGUGUGAUAUUCAAUCAUGUAUUCAUGGUUGAUAUAAUCUAAUUUGCCUAUAAGUUUGUUUUAGUUUUCAUACAAAUUAGUUAAAUGUUUUGAUGUUGAUAAGAUGAGGUUUUAGAGCAUAGUAAUAUUUGGGUUAAUUUCUAUAGUUGGAUUAAUUUUAGCUCGCAUGGGAUUGACAUAGGAUUCAUAUUUUAACAUCUCCCUUUCCCUUGUUAG